This 1431-nucleotide ribosomal RNA is filed under the name uncultured organism. Its description in RNAcentral is "SSU rRNA". It matches the Rfam family "Bacterial small subunit ribosomal RNA". The record is from RNAcentral.
AGGCUUAACACAUGCAAGUCGAGGGGCAGCACAGGUAGCAAUACCGGGUGGCGACCGGCGCACGGGUGAGUAACGCGUAUGCAACUUGCCUAUCAGAGGGGGAUAACCCGGCGAAAGUCGGACUAAUACCGCAUGAAGCAGGGAUCCCGCAUGGGAAUAUUUGCUAAAGAUUCAUCGCUGAUAGAUAGGCAUGCGUUCCAUUAGGCAGUUGGCGGGGUAACGGCCCACCAAACCGACGAUGGAUAGGGGUUCUGAGAGGAAGGUCCCCCACAUUGGUACUGAGACACGGACCAAACUCCUACGGGAGGCAGCAGUGAGGAAUAUUGGUCAAUGGGCGUAAGCCUGAACCAGCCAAGUCGCGUGAGGGAUGAAGGUUCUAUGGAUCGUAAACCUCUUUUAUAAGGGAAUAAAGUGCGGGACGUGUCCCGUUUUGUAUGUACCUUAUGAAUAAGGAUCGGCUAACUCCGUGCCAGCAGCCGCGGUAAUACGGAGGAUCCGAGCGUUAUCCGGAUUUAUUGGGUUUAAAGGGUGCGUAGGCGGCCUUUUAAGUCAGCGGUGAAAGUCUGUGGCUCAACCAUAGAAUUGCCGUUGAAACUGGGGGGCUUGAGUAUGUUUGAGGCAGGCGGAAUGCGUGGUGUAGCGGUGAAAUGCAUAGAUAUCGCGCAGAACCCCGAUCGCGAAGGCAGCCUGCCAAGCCAUUACUGACGCUGAUGCACGAAAGCGUGGGGAUCAAACAGGAUUAGAUACCCUGGUAGUCCACGCAGUAAACGAUGAUCACUAGCUGUUUGCGAUACACUGUAAGCGGCACAGCGAAAGCGUUAAGUGAUCCACCUGGGGAGUACGCCGGCAACGGUGAAACUCAAAGGAAUUGACGGGGGCCCGCACAAGCGGAGGAACAUGUGGUUUAAUUCGAUGAUACGCGAGGAACCUUACCCGGGUUUGAACGCAUUCGGGCCGAGGUGGAAACACCUUUUCUAGCAAUAGCCGUUUGCGAGGUGCUGCAUGGUUGUCGUCAGCUCGUGCCGUGAGGUGUCGGCUUAAGUGCCAUAACGAGCGCAACCCUUGCCACUAGUUACUAACAGGUAAAGCUGAGGACUCUGGUGGGACUGCCAGCGUAAGCUGCGAGGAAGGCGGGGAUGACGUCAAAUCAGCACGGCCCUUACAUCCGGGGCGACACACGUGUUACAAUGGCGUGGACAAAGGGAAGCCACCUGGCGACAGGGAGCGAAUCCCCAAACCACGUCUCAGUUCGGAUCGGAGUCUGCAACCCGACUCCGUGAAGCUGGAUUCGCUAGUAAUCGCGCAUCAGCCAUGGCGCGGUGAAUACGUUCCCGGGCCUUGUACACACCGCCCGUCAAGCCAUGGGAGCCGGGGGUACCUGAAGUCCGUAACCGCAAGGAUCGGCCUAGGGUAAAACUGGUGACUGGGGCU